ACUCCUACGGGAGGCAGCAGUGGGGAAUAUUGCACAAUGGGCGCAAGCCUGAUGCAGCAACGCCGCGUGAGCGAUGAAGGCCUUCGGGUCGUAAAGCUCUGUCCUCAAGGAAGAAUAAAUGACGGUACUUGAGGAGGAAGCCCCGGCUAACUACGUGCCAGCAGCCGCGGUAAUACGUAGGGGCAAGCGUUAUCCGGAAUCACUGGGCGUAAAGGGUGCGUAGGCGGUUUUCAAGUCAGAAGUGAAAGGCUAUGGCUCAACCAUAGUAAGCUUUUGAAACUGUUAAACUUGAGUGCAGGAGAGGAAAAGUGGAAUUCCUAGUGUAGAGGUGAAAUCCGUAGAUAUUAGGAGGAACACCAGUGGCGAAGGCGACUUUCUGGACUGUAACUGACGCUGAGGCACGAAAGCGUGGGAGCGAACAGGAUUAGAUACCCUGGUAGCACAGAG
RNAcentral lists this ribosomal RNA (447 nucleotides) under uncultured bacterium. RNAcentral describes it as "bacterial SSU rRNA". It matches the Rfam family "Bacterial small subunit ribosomal RNA", at positions 335 to 799 of the family's 1533-position model. The record is from RNAcentral.